AUGAGAACAAGGGGAGAGACUGCCUUCAAAAAUACGGCAGCGCCGAAGGAGCAAGCAGAAUGACUGUGAAUCUCUCAGGCAAAAAGACUCUUGUUGGACG
RNAcentral lists this non-coding RNA (100 nucleotides) under Bacillus sp. (in: firmicutes). RNAcentral describes it as "Bacillus sp. Glycine sequence". It matches the Rfam family "Glycine riboswitch aptamer". From Rfam's summary of the family: This family represents the bacterial glycine riboswitch. Glycine riboswitches usually consist of two metabolite-binding aptamers domains with similar structures in tandem. Lineage: Bacteria; Bacillati; Bacillota; Bacilli; Caryophanales; Bacillaceae. The record is from RNAcentral.